CUUCACCGACCCGAGCAGCACCGGCCGGUCCGCCGGCCGCCGGCCGUAGGUGGCCAGCAGCGCCUGGGCCUC
RNAcentral lists this antisense RNA (72 nucleotides) under Parafrankia soli. RNAcentral's name for it is "ASpks TB sRNA". It matches the Rfam family "ASpks TB sRNA". Lineage: Bacteria; Bacillati; Actinomycetota; Actinomycetes; Frankiales; Frankiaceae. The record is from Rfam by way of RNAcentral.